RNAcentral lists this long non-coding RNA (243 nucleotides) under Brassica napus (rape). Its description in RNAcentral is "long non-coding RNA (BNAP_LNC006639)". Lineage: Eukaryota; Viridiplantae; Streptophyta; Magnoliopsida; Brassicales; Brassicaceae. The record is from RNAcentral.
AGGAGGUAGAGAAACAACAAAGGAAGGAGCAUGAGGAACAGAAUAACAAGGAGGGUGAGAAACAGGAAAUGGAGGUAAAGUCGCAGAAUGUGGAGGAUGUAACGGAAAACCAGAGUGGGGAGUUCUCUGAAGUUCAAGGAAUGGAGAAAGUAGUAAAUACAACUCCUGAAAUAAAAACACAAGAAAGUCAAAAAAGCAAGGAGAGAAACAUUUCAUCUGAAGCUUCAAGAAAGGUCAAAUCAG